Molecule: ribosomal RNA, 253 nt
Filed under: uncultured bacterium
Lineage: Bacteria
Description: partial 16S ribosomal RNA
Rfam family: Bacterial small subunit ribosomal RNA
Source: RNAcentral
UACGGAGGGUGCGAGCGUUGUUCGGAAUCACUGGGCGUAAAGCGCGUGUAGGCGGUUCGGUAAGUCUGAUGUGAAAGCCCGAGGCUCACCCUCGGAAGUGCAUUGGAAACUGCCGAGCUAGAGUCCCGGAGAGGAGGGUGGAAUUCCUGGUGUAGCGGUGAAAUGCGUAGAUAUCAGGAGGAACACCGGCGGCGAAGGCGGCCCUCUGGACGGUGACUGACGCUGAGACGCGAAAGCGUGGGGAGCAAACAGG